CCCUUAGAUGCCCUGGGCUGCACGCGCGCUACACUGAUGUGAGCAACAAGUAUAUUUUCUUGCCUGAAAUGGUGUGGCAAUCUAGAAACUGCAUCGUGAUGGGGCCUGUUCAUUGUCAUUAUUGAUCUUAAACGAGGAAUUCCUAGUAAGCACAAAUCAUCAGUUUGUGCUGAUUAUGUCCCUGCCCUUUGUACACACCGCCCGUCGCACCUACCGAUUGAAUGGUCCGGUGAAGCCUCCGGAUUGGCGCGCACCUCGGUGCCGCCGAGAAGUUGGCUAAACCUUACCAUUUAGAGGAAGGUGAAGUCGUAACA
Molecule: ribosomal RNA, 314 nt
Filed under: uncultured eukaryote
Lineage: Eukaryota
Description: partial 18S ribosomal RNA
Rfam family: Eukaryotic small subunit ribosomal RNA
Source: RNAcentral